CUGCCCAGUGAACAAUUAAACGGCCGCGGUACCCUAACCGUGCAAAGGUAGCAUAAUCAUUUGUCUAUUAAUUGUAGACCUGUAUGAAAGGCAAAAUGAGGGUUUAACUGUCUCUUAUAGUAACUCUAUUAAACUGAUCUCCUAGUAAAAAAGCUAGAAUAAUAACAUAAGACCAGAAGACCCUGUGAAGCUUGAACUAAACUAUUAAACCAAAUAAUAACUACUUUCGGUUGGGGCGACCUUGGAAACAAAAAGAACUUCCAAAUACAAGUACUCUUACUCUUACAAAAGGCCUACAAGCCACCUAACGACCCAGUUAAAACUGAUAAUUGAACAAAGUUACUCCAGGGAUAACAGCGCUAUCUUCUUCAAGAGCCCAUAUCAAAAAGAAGGUUUACGACCUCGAUGUUGGAUCAGGACACCCCAAUGGUGCAGCCGCUAUUAAAGGUUCGUUUGUUCAACGACUAAUGUCCUACGUGAUCUGAGUUCAAACCGGAG
This 498-nucleotide ribosomal RNA is filed under the name Amphiesma stolatum (buff striped keelback). Its description in RNAcentral is "partial large subunit ribosomal RNA". It matches the Rfam family "Bacterial large subunit ribosomal RNA", at positions 1859 to 2621 of the family's 2925-position model. Lineage: Eukaryota; Metazoa; Chordata; Lepidosauria; Squamata; Natricidae. The record is from RNAcentral.